RNAcentral lists this non-coding RNA (21 nucleotides) under Caenorhabditis elegans. Lineage: Eukaryota; Metazoa; Nematoda; Chromadorea; Rhabditida; Rhabditidae. The record is from RNAcentral.
UCAAUAGUUUUAUAGGAGCAC